CACCGCGGUUAUACGAGAGGCCCAAGUUGACAGACACCGGCGUAAAGAGUGGUCAAGGGUAUAAACAACUAAAGCCGAACGUCCCCCUGGCUGUUAUACGCACUCGGAGGAAUGAAGCCCCACCACGAAAGUGGCUUUACCCCCCCCCCCCUGAACCCACGACAGCUAAGAAA
This 173-nucleotide ribosomal RNA is filed under the name Borostomias sp. CBM:ZF:14764. Its description in RNAcentral is "partial 12S rRNA". Lineage: Eukaryota; Metazoa; Chordata; Actinopteri; Stomiiformes; Stomiidae. The record is from RNAcentral.